This is a non-coding RNA of Cicer arietinum (chickpea), 732 nucleotides long. The record is from RefSeq and is a predicted model, not a curated record. Lineage: Eukaryota; Viridiplantae; Streptophyta; Magnoliopsida; Fabales; Fabaceae.
AACUGUGUGUAUUGAUUGAUUUCAAAUUUUCAUAAAUUAUGGCUUCUAACUACACAAGCAUCUACUUUCCUUCCCAUGCUUUAUCCAUGGUGACUAAAACUCUAUCUUAUUAUUACAAUCUAAAGUUAGAAAUCAAGUUUUUAUGAAAACUCAGUAAUUGCCAUUCAUUACUUUUUUAUAAUAUUACAUUAUCUUAUAUUCAUAAUUUAUACAUUCAUAUAUUUUCAUGAAAGAAAGCUACUUGCCAGAGCUCAGCGAGAUGUAUCAGAAAAUCGCGGCAAAACUUCAGCAGUAUGGAGAAUGAAGAUCUUUCUGUCAAAGCUAAGUCAAAGUUAGCAUAUCGUUGGGAGGUUUAUCACAACCUAUGUCUCUUAAGGAGAUAGCGAAGACGUGGGAUGUCUGUGCUCGUACAGUUAUUUCAGAGUAUGCAGCAGAGCGGUGGAGGGACUUUCAGCUCUAAGUAUGGCUCUUGGGAGGAUUGCUGGACAUGGUGAUUAUCUGAUUAUUGGGAGGCAUGCGAACUGUUUGUUAUUUAUUUUCAAAUUCUUUUUUGUUAAACUUAUUGUGUAUAAAGUAUAACAACCUUUUUCUUGUUUACCCACAUCACAAGCUGCAAUUGCAAUGUGCUUUGUUGCCUAAGGUGUUCGAUUUAGUAAAUUUACUCAUGACUUGAAUCAGAUUGUUCUUUGUGAAAGCCUUGUUCGUCAUUAAUACAGUAGCUAUAUUGCAACA